GACGAACGCUGGCGGCGUGCUUAACACAUGCAAGUCGAACGGAAAGGCCCUGCUUUUGUGGGGUGCUCGAGUGGCGAACGGGUGAGUAACACGUGAGUAACCUGCCCUUGACUUUGGGAUAACUUCAGGAAACUGGGGCUAAUACCGGAUAGGAGCUCCUGCUGCAUGGUGGGGGUUGGAAAGUUUCGGCGGUUGGGGAUGGACUCGCGGCUUAUCAGCUUGUUGGUGGGGUAGUGGCUUACCAAGGCUUUGACGGGUAGCCGGCCUGAGAGGGUGACCGGCCACACUGGGACUGAGAUAAGGCACAGACUCCUACGGGAGGCAGCAGUGGGGAAUAUUGCACAAUGGGCGGAAGCCUGAUGCAGCAACGCCGCGUGCGGGAUGACGGCCUUCGGGUUGUAAACCGCUUUCGCCUGUGACGAAGCGUGAGUGACGGUAAUGGGUAAAGAAGCACCGGCUAACUACGUG
This 468-nucleotide ribosomal RNA is filed under the name uncultured bacterium. RNAcentral describes it as "partial 16S ribosomal RNA". It matches the Rfam family "Bacterial small subunit ribosomal RNA", at positions 28 to 507 of the family's 1533-position model. The record is from RNAcentral.